UUACCAGAGUACUAUGAAUAUUUAAAGAUUUAAAACUCAAAGAACUUGGCGGUGUUUUAGACCACUCAGGGGAACCUGUCUCGUAAUCGACAAUCCACGUUGUACCUGACCUUUUUUUGUUUUCAGUUUGUAUACCGUUGUCGUCAGGUAACUUUUUAGAAAUUAGAAGUUAGCAGUAAAAUUAUUGAUGAUUUAGUACGUCAAAUCAAGGUGCAGCUAAUAAAAAGGGGAGGAUGGGUUACAAUUAUAUGAUUUAUAAUAACGGAUAAACAUACGAAUGUAUGUUAAAUUAUAAGGCGGACUUGAAAGUAAAUUGGAAUAUGUAAGUAAUUUGAAUGAGGCUCUGAAACGUGU
This 354-nucleotide ribosomal RNA is filed under the name Myurella multistriata. RNAcentral's name for it is "Clathroterebra multistriata partial 12S ribosomal RNA". Lineage: Eukaryota; Metazoa; Mollusca; Gastropoda; Neogastropoda; Terebridae. The record is from RNAcentral.